ACAGCAUGAAACAUCUAACCUUGUUUUACAAAAUGAUGUCUCUUGCAGGCUGAGAUUUACUUGGGCCGAUUUACUUGGUGCUGGGUGCUGAAACCUUCCCGGAGGCACAGAGACAAAAACACAGCUGAUGUGAGAGCAGCAGGGGCUCACUCCACAACUGUCCUGAAAUGCAGCCCCUCGUGCUGAGUGUUGUACAGAACAUGGACACAGAUGCUGCUGCUUCGUCCUUGGAGCCUUGGGGAAGCACUGGAGUGAGUGGCAGCCGAGGCAUUUCACACCUCAGUGAGCACAUCCUCCCCAGGAGACACGUCAAGCAGGAAUCCAGAUAAGUGCCCUGAUGUCAUUACAG
RNAcentral lists this long non-coding RNA (349 nucleotides) under Parus major (Great Tit). RNAcentral's name for it is "lncRNA (ENSPMJG00000000971.1)". Lineage: Eukaryota; Metazoa; Chordata; Aves; Passeriformes; Paridae. The record is from RNAcentral.